RNAcentral lists this ribosomal RNA (1047 nucleotides) under uncultured bacterium. Its description in RNAcentral is "bacterial SSU rRNA". It matches the Rfam family "Bacterial small subunit ribosomal RNA", at positions 8 to 1047 of the family's 1533-position model. The record is from RNAcentral.
AGAGUUUGAUCCUGGCUCAGAUUGAACGCUGGCGGCAUGCCUUACACAUGCAAGUCGAACGGCAGCACGGGUGCUUGCACCUGGUGGCGAGUGGCGAACGGGUGAGUAAUAUAUCGGAACGUACCUUAUCGUGGGGGAUAACGCAGCGAAAGCUGCGCUAAUACCGCAUACGCCCUGAGGGGGAAAGCGGGGGACCGUAAGGCCUCGCGCGAUUAGAGCGGCCGAUAUCUGAUUAGCUUGUUGGUGGGGUAAAAGCCCACCAAGGCGACGAUCAGUAGCUGGUCUGAGAGGACGAUCAGCCACACUGGGACUGAGACACGGCCCAGACUCCUACGGGAGGCAGCAGUGGGGAAUUUUGGACAAUGGGGGCAACCCUGAUCCAGCAAUGCCGCGUGAGUGAAGAAGGCCUUCGGGUUGUAAAGCUCUUUUGUCAGGGAAGAAACAGCAGCUCUAACACAGUCUGCGAAUGACGGUACCUGAAGAAUAAGCACCGGCUAACUACGUGCCAGCAGCCGCGGUAAUACGUAGGGUGCAAGCGUUAAUCGGAAUUACUGGGCGUAAAGCGUGCGCAGGCGGUUAUACAAGACAGGCGUGAAAUCCCCGGGCUUAACCUGGGAAUGGCGUCUGUGACUGUAUGACUAGAGUGUGUCAGAGGGGGGUAGAAUUCCACGUGUAGCAGUGAAAUGCGUAGAUAUGUGGAGGAAUACCAAUGGCGAAGGCAGCCCCCUGGGAUAACACUGACGCUCAUGCACGAAAGCGUGGGGAGCAAACAGGAUUAGAUACCCUGGUAGUCCACGCCCUAAACGAUGCCGACUAGUUGUUGGGAAUUUACAUUCUCAGUAACGUAGCUAACGCGUGAAGUCGGCCGCCUGGGGAGUACGGUCGCAAGAUUAAAACUCAAAGGAAUUGACGGGGACCCGCACAAGCGGUGGAUGAUGUGGAUUAAUUCGAUGCAACGCGAAAAACCUUACCUACCCUUGACAUGUCACUAACGAAGUAGAGAUACAUUAGGUGCCCGUAAGGGAAAGUGAACACAGGUGCUGCAUG